GGGUUGUGAGGUUAAGCGACUAAGCGUACACGGUGGAUGCCCUGGCAGUCAGAGGCGAUGAAGGACGUGCUAAUCUGCGAAAAGCGUCGGUAAGGUGAUAUGAACCGUUAUAACCGGCGAUGUCCGAAUGGGGAAACCCAGUGUGAUUCGUCACACUAUCGUUAACUGAAUACAUAGGUUAACGAGGCGAACCGGGGGAACUGAAACAUCUAAGUACCCCGAGGAAAAGAAAUCAACCGAGAUUCCCCCAGUAGCGGCGAGCGAACGGGGAGCAGCCCAGAGUCUGAAUCAGCUUGUGUGUUAGUGGAACGGUCUGGAAAGUCCGACGGUACAGGGUGAUAGUCCCGUACACCAAAAUGCACAGGCUGUGAACUCGAAGAGUAGGGCGGGACACGUGGUAUCCUGUCUGAAUAUGGGGGGACCAUCCUCCAAGGCUAAAUACUCCUGACUGACCGAUAGUGAACCAGUACCGUGAGGAAAGGCGAAAAGAACCCCGGCGAGGGGUGAAAAAGAACCUGAAACCGUGUACGUACAAGCAGUGGGAGCACCUUCGGGUGUGACUGCGUACCUUUUGUAUAAUGGGUCAGCGACUUAUAUUCUGUAGCAAGGUUAACCGUAUAGGGGAGCCGCAGGGAAACCGAGUCUUAACUGGGCGUUAAGUUGCAGGGUAUAGACCCGAAACCCGGUGAUCUAGCCAUGGGCAGGUUGAAGGUUGGGUAACACUAACUGGAGGACCGAACCGACUAAUGUUGAAAAAUUAGCGGAUGACUUGUGGCUGGGGGUGAAAGGCCAAUCAAACCGGGAGAUAGCUGGUUCUCCCCGAAAGCUAUUUAGGUAGCGCCUCGUGAAUUCAUCUUCGGGGGUAGAGCACUGUUUCGGCUAGGGGGUCAUCCCGACUUACCAACCCGAUGCAAACUACGAAUACCGAAGAAUGUUAUCACGGGAGACACACGGCGGGUGCUAACGUCCGUCGUGAAGAGGGAAACAACCCAGACCGCCAGCUAAGGUCCCAAAGUCAUGGUUAAGUGGGAAACGAUGUGGGAAGGCACAGACAGCCAGGAUGUUGGCUUAGAAGCAGCCAUCAUUUAAAGAAAGCGUAAUAGCUCACUGGUCGAGUCGGCCUGCGCGGAAGAUGUAACGGGGCUAAACCAUGCACCGAAGCUGCGGCAGCGACACGAUGUGUUGUUGGGUAGGGGAGCGUUCUGUAAGCCUGCGAAGGUGUGCUGUGAGGCAUGCUGGAGGUAUCAGAAGUGCGAAUGCUGACAUAAGUAACGAUAAAGCGGGUGAAAAGCCCGCUCGCCGGAAGACCAAGGGUUCCUGUCCAACGUUAAUCGGGGCAGGGUGAGUCGACCCCUAAGGCGAGGCCGAAAGGCGUAGUCGAUGGGAAACAGGUUAAUAUUCCUGUACUUGGUGUUACUGCGAAGGGGGGACGGAGAAGGCUAUGUUAGCCGGGCGACGGUUGUCCCGGUUUAAGCAUGUAGGCUGGUUGUCCAGGCAAAUCCGGAUAAUCAAGGCUGAGGUGUGAUGACGAGGCACUACGGUGCUGAAGUAACAAAUGCCCUGCUUCGGAAAAGCCUCUAAGCAUCAGGUAACAUCAAAUCGUACCCCAAACCGACACAGGUGGUCAGGUAGAGAAUACCAAGGCGCUUGAGAGAACUCGGGUGAAGGAACUAGGCAAAAUGGUGCCGUAACUUCGGGAGAAGGCACGCUGGUGUGUAGGUGAAGUCCCUGCGGAUGGAGCUGAGACCAGUCGAAGAUACCAGCUGGCUGCAACUGUUUAUUAAAAACACAGCACUGUGCAAACACGAAAGUGGACGUAUACGGUGUGACGCCUGCCCGGUGCCGGAAGGUUAAUUGAUGGGGUUAUCCGUAAGGAGAAGCUCUUGAUCGAAGCCCGGUAAACGGCGGCCGUAACUAUAACGGUCCUAAGGUAGCGAAAUUCCUUGUCGGGUAAGUUCCGACCUGCACGAAUGGCGUAAUGAUGGCCAGGCUGUCUCCACCCGAGACUCAGUGAAAUUGAACUCGCUGUGAAGAUGCAGUGUACCCGCGGCAAGACGGAAAGACCCCGUGAACCUUUACUAUAGCUUGACACUGAACAUUGAGCCUUGAUGUGUAGGAUAGGUGGGAGGCUUUGAAGCGUGGACGCCAGUCUGCGUGGAGCCAACCUUGAAAUACCACCCUUUAAUGUUUGAUGUUCUAACGUUGGCCCCUGACCGGGGUUGCGGACAGUGUCUGGUGGGUAGUUUGACUGGGGCGGUCUCCUCCCAAAGCGUAACGGAGGAGCACGAAGGUUAGCUAAUCCUGGUCGGACAUCAGGAGGUUAGUGCAAUGGCAUAAGCUAGCUUGACUGCGAGCGUGACGGCGCGAGCAGGUGCGAAAGCAGGUCAUAGUGAUCCGGUGGUUCUGAAUGGAAGGGCCAUCGCUCAACGGAUAAAAGGUACUCCGGGGAUAACAGGCUGAUACCGCCCAAGAGUUCAUAUCGACGGCGGUGUUUGGCACCUCGAUGUCGGCUCAUCACAUCCUGGGGCUGAAGUAGGUCCCAAGGGUAUGGCUGUUCGCCAUUUAAAGUGGUACGCGAGCUGGGUUUAGAACGUCGUGAGACAGUUCGGUCCCUAUCUGCCGUGGGCGCUGGAGAAUUGAGGGGGGCUGCUCCUAGUACGAGAGGACCGGAGUGGACGCAUCACUGGUGUUCGGGUUGUCAUGCCAAUGGCACUGCCCGGUAGCUAAAUGCGGAAGAGAUAAGUGCUGAAAGCAUCUAAGCACGAAACUUGCCCCGAGAUGAGUUCUCCCUGAGACUUUAAGUCUCCUGAAGGAACGUUAAAGACGAUGACGUUGAUAGGCCGGGUGUGUAAGCGCAGCGAUGCGUUGAGCUAACCGGUACUAAUGAACCGUGAGGCUUAACCUUACAACGCCGAAG
RNAcentral lists this ribosomal RNA (2917 nucleotides) under Klebsiella pneumoniae. RNAcentral describes it as "23S ribosomal RNA". It matches the Rfam family "Bacterial large subunit ribosomal RNA". The record is from RNAcentral. Lineage: Bacteria; Pseudomonadati; Pseudomonadota; Gammaproteobacteria; Enterobacterales; Enterobacteriaceae.